Molecule: long non-coding RNA, 910 nt
Organism: Melospiza melodia melodia
Lineage: Eukaryota; Metazoa; Chordata; Aves; Passeriformes; Passerellidae
Exons: 4
Source: RefSeq, a predicted model, not a curated record
GCUGCUGGUGGGGAGCUGCCCUUUGCUUCGUGCCUCCCUUCCGACUGCCUGGCGAGCUCAGCCAAACACCAUUAAAGGUUUAUCCACACGCUGAUCGACUUAUCUGCCUCCAGAGCCGGAGCCAGAGCGGUCUCCAAGGGGAGAGGUGGUGGAUGUGGCACCAUCUUCCAAAGCAACAGAGGAUGAGCAGGUGCUCCGAGAGAUUGGCCAGGACACUCUGGGAAGAAAUGGUGAUGCCUUCAAAGUGGAGAACGGGUUGAUAAGGGGGGAAUGGGGAGAGACAUUUCAGCUCCUACUGGUCUCUUCAGCGCUCAGGAGUGUUUGGUCUGGUUCCAAGGCUUCUGGAGGAGUUUGAGAGGUCCCUCGACAGAGCUGCAGCCCUCUGCAAGGCAGACACCACAUCCCUUUUGUUCGGAGGAGCGCGGAAACGGGAACGCGUCAGCAGAGAAAGGCAGAUCAACGCCAAGCAUCUGGAAGCCGAAGACUGAGAAAACCCAAUUAAAAAUCAGGCAAUGCUGCGAGUGGAGCAAGCCAUGAAGUGAUGGAUUAUUCAUUCCACGAUGUCUUCAACACAAGAGAGGGGCAGAACGAUCGAUCCUUCCAGGACUUCCACACUGUUGGUUGAUGAUGAACACUCCAUCCCAACUUUUGGGAGAGCCAGGCCCUGACUUGGCAAACUGCAAAGUUCCCAUGGAUGAUGGAGGACAAUCCACCAGCCCUACUAGGGUGAAGCCACCCUGGGGCACGGAGCCCCCAGUAAAGCAGAACUGGAAGAAGAACAAAGUCAACCCAGGCCACCCCAGCUGAAGUAUGUGGGAAACACAAGCUGUAACUGCAGUGGAAGUUUCCCCUGGCCAAAAACAGGAACAGAAUUUGGGCUGAAGUGCGUGGAUUUGCAGAAAAACAAAAA